UCGAACUGCACGGCCGGCAGCGGAGCCGCU
This 30-nucleotide small RNA is filed under the name Bombyx mori (domestic silkworm). RNAcentral describes it as "ovarian small RNA-28171". The record is from RNAcentral. Lineage: Eukaryota; Metazoa; Arthropoda; Insecta; Lepidoptera; Bombycidae.